This 253-nucleotide ribosomal RNA is filed under the name uncultured prokaryote. RNAcentral describes it as "partial 16S ribosomal RNA". It matches the Rfam family "Bacterial small subunit ribosomal RNA", at positions 524 to 776 of the family's 1533-position model. The record is from RNAcentral.
CACGUAGGGGGCAAGCGUUGUCCGGAAUUACUGGGCGUAAAGGGCGUGUAGGCGGAUAAUUAAGUCAGAUGUGAAACCUCUGGGCUCAACCCAGAGCAUGCAUCUGAUACUGGUGAUCUUGAGUGUAGAAGAGGAGAGUGGAAUUCCUAGUGUAGCGGUGAAAUGCGUAGAUAUUAGGAGGAACACCAGUGGCGAAGGCGACUCUCUGGUCUACAACUGACGCUGAGGCGCGAAAGCGUGGGUAGCAAACAGG